ACGGGUGCGUAACGCGUGGGAAUCUGCCCUUUGGUUCGGAAUAACAGCUGGAAACGGCUGCUAAUACCGGAUGAUGACGUAAGUCCAAAGAUUUAUCGCCAGAGGAUGAGCCCGCGUUGGAUUAGGUAGUUGGUGGGGUAAAGGCCUACCAAGCCGACGAUCCAUAGCUGGUCUGAGAGGAUGAUCAGCCACACUGGGACUGAGACACGGCCCAGACUCCUACGGGAGGCAGCAGUGGGGAAUAUUGGACAAUGGGCGAAAGCCUGAUCCAGCAAUGCCGCGUGAGUGAUGAAGGCCCUAGGGUUGUAAAGCUCUUUUACCCGGGAAGAUAAUGACUGUACCGGGAGAAUAAGCCCCGGCUAACUCCGUGCCAGCAGCCGCGGUAAUACGGAGGGGGCUAGCGUUGUUCGGAAUUACUGGGCGUAAAGCGCACGUAGGCGGCUUUGUAAGUCAGAGGUGAAAGCCUGGAGCUCAACUCCAGAACUGCCUUUGAGACUGCAUCGCUUGAAUCCAGGAGAGGUCAGUGGAAUUCCGAGU
This 537-nucleotide ribosomal RNA is filed under the name uncultured bacterium. RNAcentral describes it as "bacterial SSU rRNA". It matches the Rfam family "Bacterial small subunit ribosomal RNA", at positions 102 to 674 of the family's 1533-position model. The record is from RNAcentral.